Molecule: ribosomal RNA, 590 nt
Filed under: Trichoderma virens
Lineage: Eukaryota; Fungi; Ascomycota; Sordariomycetes; Hypocreales; Hypocreaceae
Description: eukaryotic LSU rRNA
Rfam family: 5.8S ribosomal RNA (bases 223-376)
Source: RNAcentral
GGUACCUGCGGAGGGAUCAUUACCGAGUUUACAACUCCCAAACCCAAUGUGAACGUUACCAAACCGUUGCCUCGGCGGGAUCUCUGCCCCGGGUGCGUCGCAGCCCCGGACCAAGGCGCCCGCCGGAGGACCAACCAAAACUCUUAUUGUAUACCCCCUCGCGGGUUUUUUACUAUCUGAGCCAUCUCGGCGCCCCUCGUGGGCGUUUCGAAAAUGAAUCAAAACUUUCAACAACGGAUCUCUUGGUUCUGGCAUCGAUGAAGAACGCAGCGAAAUGCGAUAAGUAAUGUGAAUUGCAGAAUUCAGUGAAUCAUCGAAUCUUUGAACGCACAUUGCGCCCGCCAGUAUUCUGGCGGGCAUGCCUGUCCGAGCGUCAUUUCAACCCUCGAACCCCUCCGGGGGGUCGGCGUUGGGGAUCGGCCCUUUACGGGGCCGGCCCCGAAAUACAGUGGCGGUCUCGCCGCAGCCUCUCCUGCGCAGUAGUUUGCACACUCGCAUCGGGAGCGCGGCGCGUCCACAGCCGUUAAACACCCCAAACUUCUGAAAUGUUGACCUCGGAUCAGGUAGGAAUACCCGCUGAACUUACGCCA